RNAcentral lists this ribosomal RNA (255 nucleotides) under uncultured bacterium. RNAcentral's name for it is "partial 16S ribosomal RNA". It matches the Rfam family "Bacterial small subunit ribosomal RNA", at positions 524 to 776 of the family's 1533-position model. The record is from RNAcentral.
UACGUAGGGUGCAAGCGUUAAUCGGAAUUACUGGGCGUAAAGCGUGCGCAGGCGGUUCUAUAAGACAGAUGUGAAAUCCCCGGGCUCAACCUGGGAACUGCAUUUGUGACUGUAGAGCUGGAGUGCGGCAGAGGGGGAUGGAAUUCCGCGUGUAGCAGUGAAAUGCGUAGAUAUGCGGAGGAACACCGAUGGCGAAGGCCAAUCCCCUGGCCAACACUGACGCUCCAGUGCACGAAAGCGUGGGGAGCAAACAGG